This 66-nucleotide transfer RNA is filed under the name Anaedus unidentatus. RNAcentral's name for it is "tRNA-Tyr". Lineage: Eukaryota; Metazoa; Arthropoda; Insecta; Coleoptera; Tenebrionidae. The record is from RNAcentral.
AGUAAAAUGACCGAAUAUCUAGGUGAUAAAUUGUAAAUUUAUUUAUGAGAAUUUUCUCUUUUACUA